UACGGGGGGGGCAAGCGUUGUUCGGAAUUACUGGGCGUAAAGGGCUCGUAGGUGGCCAACUAAGUCAGACGUGAAAUCCCUCGGCUUAACCGGGGAACUGCGUCUGAUACUGGAUGGCUUGAGUUCGGGAGAGGGAUGCGGAAUUCCAGGUGUAGCGGUGAAAUGCGUAGAUAUCGGGAGGAACACCUGUGGCGAAAGCGGCGCACUGGACCACAACUGACGCUGAGGCGCGAAAGCGUGGGGAGCAAACAGG
Molecule: ribosomal RNA, 253 nt
Filed under: uncultured bacterium
Lineage: Bacteria
Description: partial 16S ribosomal RNA
Rfam family: Bacterial small subunit ribosomal RNA
Source: RNAcentral